Molecule: ribosomal RNA, 327 nt
Filed under: uncultured eukaryote
Lineage: Eukaryota
Description: partial 18S ribosomal RNA
Rfam family: Eukaryotic small subunit ribosomal RNA
Source: RNAcentral
CCCUUAGAUGUUCUGGGCCGCACACGCGCUACACUGAAGGAGGCAGCGUGUACUCCUGGAUCGAAAGAUUUGGGUAACCCGCGAAUCUCCUUCGUGCUAGGGAUUGAGGUUUGCAAUUAUCCUUCAUGAACGAGGAAUUCCCAGUAAGUGCAAGUCAUAAGCUUGCACUGACUACGUCCCUGCCCUUUGUACACACCGCCCGUCGCUACUACCGAUUGAAUGAUUUAGUGAGGACUUCGGACUGGGACCGAUGCGGCUUUCGGGCUGCGUCGGUAUUCUGGAAAGAUGUCCAAACUGUAUCAUUUAGAGGAAGUAAAAGUCGUANCA